This is a non-coding RNA of Armatimonadetes bacterium CG2_30_66_41, 47 nucleotides long. The record is from Rfam. Lineage: Bacteria; Bacillati; Armatimonadota.
CCCAGGGAUGAAUCCCUGGGCUAUUCUCAUCCUGUCCCUUCGGGACG